RNAcentral lists this ribosomal RNA (423 nucleotides) under uncultured prokaryote. RNAcentral describes it as "bacterial SSU rRNA". It matches the Rfam family "Bacterial small subunit ribosomal RNA", at positions 355 to 796 of the family's 1533-position model. The record is from RNAcentral.
UGGGGAAUCUUGGACAAUGGGGGCAACCCUGAUCCAGCGACGCCGCGUGGGUGGUAAGGCCUUCGGGUUGUAAAGCCCUUUCACCGGGGAAGAUGAUGACAUUACCCGGAGAAGAAGCGCCGGCUAACUCCGUGCCAGCAGCCGCGGUAAGACGGAGGGCGCUAGCGUUGUUCGGAAUCACUGGGCGUAAAGGGCGCGUAGGCGGGCCGGUCAGUUGGGGGUGAAAUCCCGAGGCUUAACCUCGGAACUGCCCUCAAAACUACCAGCCUUGAGUCCGGGAGAGGUGAGUGGAAUUCCUAGUGUAGAGGUGAAAUUCGUAGAUAUUAGGAAGAACACCAGUGGCGAAGGCGGCUCACUGGCCCGGUACUGACGCUGAGGCGCGAAAGCGUGGGGAGCAAACAGGAUUAGAUACCCGUGUAGUCC